RNAcentral lists this small nuclear RNA (23 nucleotides) under Arabidopsis thaliana (thale cress). RNAcentral describes it as "snRNA_02255". The record is from RNAcentral. Lineage: Eukaryota; Viridiplantae; Streptophyta; Magnoliopsida; Brassicales; Brassicaceae.
GAUAAUCAAAACCGCACCCAAAA